Molecule: long non-coding RNA, 1234 nt
Organism: Medicago truncatula (barrel medic)
Lineage: Eukaryota; Viridiplantae; Streptophyta; Magnoliopsida; Fabales; Fabaceae
Exons: 3
Source: RefSeq, a predicted model, not a curated record
UUGAAACACCUUUUGACCAAAAAUCAAAAUCAAAAUUGAACUCCUUCUUCUCUUCUCUUCUCAAAAUCACGAAAGCUAAACCCCCAAAAUCAUGUUCAUCUGAGAAGCUCAGAAUCCCUAAUUUUCUCAUCCCUUUCCGUUGAUAAAUCCCAAACGACUCAAAAAAUUCUCUAUCCGUUGGUUUCAUCCCCAAAAACCCUAAAUUCUUUAUCUGUUCAAUCCUCCCACUUUUGUGUGGACAUUCAAGACUUACGAAGGCAGUGACGUUUGCGGCGAUUGACUGACAAAGGUUUUUCUGCGAUUCACUAAGAUGCUUGCAUACUCAAAUUCGUUAGCCAAAUCUUUCAAUUAAGCUAAAAGAAAGCAAUUGGUAUGACAAGACGUUUUCCCUCUCCCUCUCCAUGGAUGAAUUCAACCUCCCCACCCAAACUUUCAUCAAAUCCUCCAUUUUUGUGUGAAUUCAAGCAUGCAUGUGAUAACUCAUGAUCUCUCUCCAUUGAUGGAAGUGGUAGGAAGCUAAGAUGUUGGAGAUUAUUAGGAUCCGAGAUUAGAAGAAUCAUAAGAGACAAAGAGCUUUUGAAGAAAAGAUAGUAAAAUUCGAAGUUGCUUCAAAAAGGUUCUUUGGCUUUCAAGUGAAGGGGCAGAAGUAGAAAGAUUGGUGAAGGGUAAGAAGCUUUGAAGCAAGGCUAGAAACUUGAAACAACUUACAAGAUUUUUUUUAGAGAUUUAGUGGUUUGGGGCUUUUGGCAUCAAGUAGAAAUCAAUCCUUGAGAUGUUGUAUCUUGUCUUGGUUAGCACAUUUUGUUGAAGAAUUUCAAGAUUUGGAAGCACAAAAUGAAGAGAUGCAAAUGAUGUUUAUGCGUUUAUUUUUCAUAGAUCAAUGAUAAUUGACAUUUUGAACUGGGUUAUACAUCAAAGACCGAAAAUAUUAUUUGCAUCUCAGCGGUUGACAACGGUUGUAAAAUGAUCAAUAGUACCAAUUUAAUUAAUAAAACUUUUCCCAUUUAAAAAAUAAUAAUAAUGUUAUUUAUAAGUAAAUGAGGCUUGUAAAAAACUAUGAACAUCUAGACUUCAAUGUUAUGUAUUUGAUGUCUCCCAUCGAAACCACCUAAGAUGAGAUUAUACCAUCUUUUUCUCUAGAAUGAUUGAAUUUCUAGUCUUAUGUUGUCUUGGGUAGAAGUAACAUUUUCUGCAAAAGACUUUAGAAUAUUCUAAUAGGGAAAGUUGUUUGAAA